AAGGCUUGACAUGUUCGGCAAAGUUGCUGAAAGGCAAUAGAGGUUAUCCGAACACAGGUGCUGCAUGGCCGUCGUCAGUUCGUGCCGUGAGGUGUAUGGUUAAGUUCCUAUAACGACGCAACCCUUGGGCUUAGUUACCAGCAUUCAGUUGGGGACUCUAAGCCGACUGCCCGAGUAAUCGGGAGGAAGGAAAGGAUGACGUCUGGUCGGUCAUGGCCCUUAUGCCUUGGGCCGACACACGGUG
This 244-nucleotide ribosomal RNA is filed under the name uncultured bacterium. RNAcentral describes it as "partial 16S ribosomal RNA". It matches the Rfam family "Bacterial small subunit ribosomal RNA", at positions 976 to 1222 of the family's 1533-position model. The record is from RNAcentral.